AGCAGCCGCGGUAAUUCCAGCUCCAAUAGCGUAUAUUAAAGUUGUUGCAGUUAAAAAGCUCGUAGUUGAAUUUCGGGGUUAGUAGAUUGGUCAUGCCUCUGGUAUGCACUGGUCUUACUGAUUCCUCCUUCCUGAUGAACCGUAAUGCCAUUAAUUGGUGUUGCGGGGAAACUGGACUGUUACUUUGAAAAAUUAGAGUGUUUAAAGCAGGCUAACGCUUGAAUACAUUAGCAUGGAAUAAUGGAAUAGGACGUUCGAUCUUAUUUUGUUGGUUUCUAGGAUUGACGUAAUGAUUAAUAGGGAUAGUUGGGGGCAUUAGUAUUCAAUUGUCAGAGGUGAAAUUCUUGGAUUUAUUGAAGACUAACUACUGCGAAAGCAUUUGCCAAGGAUGUUUUCAUUAAUCAAGAACGAAAGUUAGGGGAUCGAAGACGAUCAGAUACCGUCGUAGUCUUAACCAUAAACUAUGCCGACUAGGGAUCGGAUGAUGUUAAUUUUUUAAUGUACUCAUUCGGCGCCUUAA
Molecule: ribosomal RNA, 520 nt
Filed under: uncultured Glomeromycotina
Lineage: Eukaryota; Fungi; Glomeromycota
Description: SSU rRNA
Rfam family: Eukaryotic small subunit ribosomal RNA
Source: RNAcentral